Molecule: long non-coding RNA, 857 nt
Organism: Zeugodacus cucurbitae (melon fly)
Lineage: Eukaryota; Metazoa; Arthropoda; Insecta; Diptera; Tephritidae
Exons: 3
Source: RefSeq, a predicted model, not a curated record
UAAUUGUUGAAUAUAAUAAUAUUAUCUUGCCUUAAAUUCUAAAAUUAAUUGGUGUCACUUAUGGCAGCAGCGUAGAACUUUCGAAUCGAUGGAAUAUGUGCUGCAAGCAAAUCCAGAACUAUGGAUGCACGCGCUGCUACAUCGAACACAAAUCAUUUACACACCAGAUAUUAGGUUUAAUGUCACUUUUUUACGUGCAAUUAAACCUUUUGCUCAACACAUGCCCGGGAAGAACUGAAGCGACAUGGCUUAGGUGCAUUUGUAACCGUUUAUUAUCGCGACAUGUGUAAACUGGGUUUUGCCAAUGAGCUAGAGGGCAAAGCAGUUGCAGUAUUUUUAGAAUUACCGGCCUCUCAGUUGGCCGUGCCAUUAGCAGCUAAAACACAGAAAUUAAAGGGAGGACUUUUUUGAUUAAUUUUCACCUUGUAUUGAGGAAUCAUAACGUUGUUGUAUCGCUUUACAGGGACAUGGAUUCGCCGAAAUUAGUUCAAUGAAAAUGCUACAGCAAGAGCAUGGAUGUUAAGACUAGAACGUUGCCAGUGCUAGAUUUAGAAUUCCUGAAACAUUAGAAAUCCAGAAAAUGGACGAAUCUAGUACUAAUGAAAUUAAUGGAAGAACAGAUCUUCCAAAUCUCCUAAAGAAACCAAAAUAGUCCUCACAUAAUGUGCGCAGCUUACACUUCCAAGCCGCUCGGGGUAUUUGACAUUUGAUAGUCUUCCUCCAGCCUUUGUCAGAUAGCAAAAAUUUUUCAAAUAUUCAAUACGUUUUACAUAUGUAUAUAGUGUAGUACGAUAAUACAUUUAUAAAGUAAAUUUAAUAAUAAACACCUAAAUGGCAUGAUAUUUUAAAUAAAUAUG